RNAcentral lists this ribosomal RNA (250 nucleotides) under uncultured bacterium. Its description in RNAcentral is "partial 16S ribosomal RNA". It matches the Rfam family "Bacterial small subunit ribosomal RNA", at positions 524 to 776 of the family's 1533-position model. The record is from RNAcentral.
UACGUAGGUCCCGAGCGUUGUCCGGAUUUAUUGGGCGUAAAGCGAGCGCAGGUGGUUUAUUAAGUUUGGUGUAAAAGGCAGUGGCUCAACCAUUGUAUGCAUUGGAAACUGGUAGACUUGAGUGCAGGAGAGGAGAGUGGAAUUCCAUGUGUAGCGGUGAAAUGCGUAGAUAUGGAGGAACACCGGUGGCGAAAGCGGCUCUCUGGCCUGUAACUGACACUGAGGCUCGAAAGCGUGGGGAGCAAACAGG